Tyto alba (common barn owl) is the source of this 1368-nucleotide long non-coding RNA. RefSeq lists it as uncharacterized. The record is from RefSeq and is a predicted model, not a curated record. NCBI's taxonomy places the organism in Eukaryota, Metazoa, Chordata, Aves, Strigiformes, Tytonidae. The transcript is spliced from 3 exons.
GCGGGUGAAGAGGGGGCUGCGGCGGCGGGGGGAGGCGCUGUGGCACCGGGACUCGAUGUCGGCAGGGGGCUGCGGGCCGCGGCAGGGCGAACGGACUGCGGCCGCGACGCUGCGGCGGCGGCCGCGCAGCUCGCCCGCCCCUCUCCCGGGGCUGCCGCGCACACGGCCGAUGGGCGAGGGCCCUCCGGCGGCGACAGGGCCGGGGGCGCCCGAGGGGCUGGAAGGGGACGGGCGCUGCCCCCGCCCGUCCACGGGAGGAGCUCCGCGCCGCACCGCCCCCGCAGAGCUGGGAAGCGGGCGCAGGGGCCGAGGCUGCGCCGUCCGCCCGUCGUGGACGCGGCGCUAAAGCGCGGGAGGCCGGAGAGCGGUCAGGCCGGAGGGGCGGCCGCUCUCGCGCCGGAGCCGUCCCCGCCAGCGGCGAGGGCGCUGCGGGCGGCCCGUCCCGGCACCGCGCUGCCGGCUGCUGCGCGGGCGGCGAGCGGCGCGCACUUUGCAGACGGUCCCUGCGCCGCUCUCUGCAGCGCCGCGCAGGCGCCCCGCGCCCGGCGCGGGGACGGCGGCCCCGGCGCGAGCGGGAGAGCGGCGCGGCGGGGAGGAGCAUGGACGGGACGAGCUGGACCCAGAUGCAUCCUCAGUCUGCUGUUUUAAAGCUGUUCCUGCUUCAGGUCAAUGAGAGUAUCUGCUGCUAAUUCACCAUGACAUAAUAUCUGGUCUCCUGCCCCUUCCUGUUGGAUAAGUUUCCUGCUUCCUCUUGGUCUAUACACAUGUGACUCCGGGCGUUCAUCAGCUACCUUGUCUGGUACAGGUGAAUGGAAUGCUGAAAAAAUUAGAAAACCGUCUUACCUGCUGCUACAGACAUAGCAAGUUCCUUCACUUCAGGAUUUAUCUUUCAUCACCUGCUUCAGUGUUUCCAGCCUAAAUUUUCUGUCUAACAUUUUAGGCUCAUCUGAUUUUUUUUUUUUUUUUUUUAAAUCCUCUGUCCUGACUGGCUGUGAAACUUCUCCAAAAUCUUCUCAUUUGAGGAUUUAAUCUACAUGACUCUUACUUCCCUCUUUUAGAUCUCUGAAGAUGGUAAAACAAUCUGGAUAUAACAACCAUCCUUGGAGUCCUUAGUAGCCACUUCCCUUCCACUUGUUUUUAUCAUUUGUUUAUAACCUUUCAGUAAUUCUUAUUUUUCCCGGCAAUUAGAUACAAAAUAUGUGCAUGUUAAGAAUUUCAGGCGUGUAAUGACACUUUACUACAUUGCAUUUAAGUUACAUUUGCCAUUUCCCACUGGCUGCCAUUUUGCAAAGUCAUUGAUGUUUGCUGUAAUUUUGUACUCUUUGAGGUUAACUUUGACUUUUUUUGGAGGGGUAAUCUAUUUGUAAU